GGAGGCUUCGCCUAGUCCGGUCUAUGGCGCCGCACUGCUAAUGCGGUUUGGGUUAUCGCCCAUCCGGGGUUCAAAUCCCCGAGCCUCCG
RNAcentral lists this transfer RNA (89 nucleotides) under Actinomycetota bacterium. RNAcentral describes it as "tRNA-Ser". It matches the Rfam family "tRNA". From Rfam's summary of the family: Transfer RNA (tRNA) molecules are approximately 80 nucleotides in length. Their secondary structure includes four short double-helical elements and three loops (D, anti-codon, and T loops). Further hydrogen bonds mediate the characteristic L-shaped molecular structure. tRNAs have two regions of fundamental functional importance: the anti-codon, which is responsible for specific mRNA codon recognition, and the 3' end, to which the tRNAs corresponding amino acid is attached (by aminoacyl-tRNA synthetases). tRNAs cope with the degeneracy of the genetic code in two manners: having more than one tRNA (with a specific anti-codon) for a particular amino acid; and 'wobble' base-pairing, i.e. permitting non-standard base-pairing at the 3rd anti-codon position. Lineage: Bacteria; Bacillati; Actinomycetota. The record is from RNAcentral.